AUGAUCAAGAAUGCUCAGAAAAACAAGUUGAUUGUUGGCCUAGCCCCGGAUUUGAUCCCUGAUGGGGUUGCGGUGCUACAGUAUGCGGAUGGUACCAUUAUCUAUAUGGAACAUGAUGUGCGUAAGGCAGUUAACCUGAAGUUGCUGCUAUACAUGUUUGAAAUGAUGUCUGGCCUCAAAGUGAAUUUCCAGAAGAGUGAGAUUCUAACUGUUGGUGGAGAUGAGAAUAUCAUUAGAGAAUAUGCCGAGCUCUUCAACUGUGACAUUGGCAGUUUCCCAAUUAAAUACUUGGGGAUGCCACAACCUUAG
This 309-nucleotide ribosomal RNA is filed under the name Triticum aestivum (bread wheat). RNAcentral describes it as "partial small subunit ribosomal RNA". Lineage: Eukaryota; Viridiplantae; Streptophyta; Magnoliopsida; Poales; Poaceae. The record is from RNAcentral.